This 487-nucleotide ribosomal RNA is filed under the name uncultured bacterium. RNAcentral describes it as "bacterial SSU rRNA". It matches the Rfam family "Bacterial small subunit ribosomal RNA", at positions 28 to 524 of the family's 1533-position model. The record is from RNAcentral.
GACGAACGCUGGCGGCGUGCCUAACACAUGCAAGUCGAACGAGAUCCAUGGGAGCUUGCUCCCGGAAGAUCUAGUGGCGAACGGGUGAGUAACACGUGAGAAACCUGCCCUGGAGUGGGGAAUAACUCGGGGAAACUCGAGCUAAUACCGCAUACCCUCGGAUGGUCGCAUGGCCGACCGAGGAAAGAUUUAUCGCUCUAGGAGGGUCUCGCGGCCUAUCAGCUAGUUGGUGGGGUAACGGCCUACCAAGGCAACGACGGGUAGCUGGUUUGAGAGAACGAUCAGCCACACUGGGACUGAGACACGGCCCAGACUCCUACGGGAGGCAGCAGUGGGGAAUCUUGCGCAAUGGGCGAAAGCCUGACGCAGCAACGCCGCGUGCGGGAUGACGGCCUUCGUGGUUGUAACCGACUUUCAGCAGGGACGAAAAUAGACGGUACCUGCAGAAGAAGACCCCGGCUAACUACGUGCCAGCAGCCGCGGUAAU